GCAGAACGCGAAGAACCUUACCAGGGCUUGACAUAUACCGGAAACACCCAGAGAUGGGUGCCCCGCAAGGUCGGUAUACAGGUGGUGCAUGGUUGUCGUCAGCUCGUGUCGUGAGAUGUUGGGUUAAGUCCCGCAACGAGCGCAACCCUCGUUCUAUGUUGCCAGCACGUUAUGGUGGGGACUCAUAGAAGACUGCCGGGGUCAACUCGGAGGAAGGUGGGGAUGACGUCAAAUCAUCAUGCCCCUUAUGUCCUGGGCUUCACGCAUGCUACAAUGGCCAGUACAAGGGCUGCGAUACCGCGAGGUGGAGCGAAUCCCAAAAAACUGGUCUCAGUUCGGAUUGGGGUCUGCAACUCGACCCCAUGAAGUCGGAUCGCUAGUAAUCGCAGAUCAGCAACGUUGCGGUGAAUACGUUCCCCGGGUCUUGUACACACCG
This 436-nucleotide ribosomal RNA is filed under the name uncultured bacterium. RNAcentral describes it as "bacterial SSU rRNA". It matches the Rfam family "Bacterial small subunit ribosomal RNA", at positions 954 to 1392 of the family's 1533-position model. The record is from RNAcentral.